UACGGAUGACAGGACUCGAACCUGUAUGACUUUAAAGCCCCAGGGCCUAAACCUGGUGUGUCUACCAAUUUCACCACACCCGC
RNAcentral lists this transfer RNA (83 nucleotides) under Micractinium pusillum. RNAcentral describes it as "tRNA-Leu". The record is from RNAcentral. Lineage: Eukaryota; Viridiplantae; Chlorophyta; Trebouxiophyceae; Chlorellales; Chlorellaceae.